AUUGAAAGCUGGCGGCAGGCUUAACACAUGCAAGUCGAGCGGGGUGAUGGUGCUUGCACUAUCACUUAGCGGCGGACGGGUGAGUAAUGCUUAGGGAUCUGCCUAUUAGUGGGGGACAACAUCUCGAAAGGGAUGCUAAUACCGCAUACGUCCUACGGGAGAAAGCAGGGGAUCACUUGUGACCUUGUGCUAAUAGAUGAGCCUAAGUCGGAUUAGCUAGUUGGUGUGGUAAAGGCCUACCAAGGCGACGAUCUGGAGCGGGUCUGAGAGGAUGAUCCGCCACACUGGGACUGAGGACCGGCCCAGACUCCUACGGGAGGCAGCACUGGGGAAUAUUGGACAAUGGGGGGAACCCGGAUCCAGCCAUGCCGCGUGUGUGAAGAAGGCCUUAUGGUUGUAAAGCACUUUAAGCGAGGAGGAGGCUCUUUUGGUUAAUACCCAAGAUGAGUGGACGUUACUCGCAGAAUAAGAACCGGCUAACUCUGUGCCAGCAGCCGCCGUAA
This 503-nucleotide ribosomal RNA is filed under the name uncultured bacterium. RNAcentral's name for it is "partial 16S ribosomal RNA". It matches the Rfam family "Bacterial small subunit ribosomal RNA", at positions 30 to 523 of the family's 1533-position model. The record is from RNAcentral.